This 447-nucleotide ribosomal RNA is filed under the name uncultured bacterium. Its description in RNAcentral is "bacterial SSU rRNA". It matches the Rfam family "Bacterial small subunit ribosomal RNA", at positions 29 to 521 of the family's 1533-position model. The record is from RNAcentral.
AACGAACGCUGGCGGCAGGCCUAACACAUGCAAGUCGAACGCCGUAGCAAUACGGAGUGGCAGACGGGUGAGUAACACGUGGGAACGUACCCUUCGGUUCGGAACAACCCAGGGAAACUUGGGCUAAUACCGGAUAAGCCCUUACGGGGAAAGAUUUAUCGCCGAAAGAUCGGCCCGCGUCUGAUUAGCUAGUUGGUGAGGUAACGGCUCACCAAGGCGACGAUCAGUAGCUGGUCUGAGAGGAUGAUCAGCCACAUUGGGACUGAGACACGGCCCAAACUCCUACGGGAGGCAGCAGUGGGGAAUAUUGGACAAUGGGCGCAAGCCUGAUCCAGCCAUGCCGCGUGAGUGAUGAAGGCCCUAGGGUUGUAAAGCUCUUUUGUGCGGGAAGAUAAUGACGGUACCGCAAGAAUAAGCCCCGGCUAACUUCGUGCCAGCCGCCGCCGU